RNAcentral lists this unclassified non-coding RNA (147 nucleotides) under uncultured Monographella. RNAcentral's name for it is "sequence contains ITS1". Lineage: Eukaryota; Fungi; Ascomycota; Sordariomycetes; Xylariales. The record is from RNAcentral.
CUGAGUUUUCAACUCUCCAAACCAUGUGAACUUACCACUGUUGCCUCGGUGGUUAGUGCCCUGCUUCGGCGGGGUGCUGCCGCCGGCGGACAAACUAAACUCUUGCCAACUUUGUCAAAUCUGAAUCUAAAACUAAGAAAUAAGUUA